AAGUCUAUCAUGCUAUUAGUGUUGAUC
This 27-nucleotide non-coding RNA is filed under the name Cricetulus griseus (Chinese hamster). Lineage: Eukaryota; Metazoa; Chordata; Mammalia; Rodentia; Cricetidae. The record is from RNAcentral.